CGGCCUUCUGGACAGUACUGACGCUGAGAUGCGAAAGCGUGGGGAGCAAACAGGAUUAGAUACCUGGUAGUCACGCUGUAAACGAUGUCGAUUUGGAGGUGUUCCCUUGAGGAGUGGCUUCCGGAGCUAACGCGUUAAAUCGACCGCCUGGGGAGUACGGCCGCAAGGUUAAAACUCAAAUGAAUUGACGGGGGCCCGCACAAGCGGUGGAGCAUGUGGUUUAAUUCGAUGCAACGCGAAGAACCUUACCUACUCUUGACAUCCAGAGAAUUUAGCAGAGAUGCUUUAGUGCCUUCGGGAACUCUGAGACAGGUGCUGCAUGGCUGUCGUCAGCUCGUGUUGUGAAAUGUUGGGUUAAGUCCCGCAACGAGCGCAACCCUUAUCCUUUGUUGCCAGCACAUUAUGGUGGGAACUCAAAGGAGACUGCCGGUGAUAAACCGGAGGAAGGUGGGGAUGACGUCAGGUCAUCAUGGCCCUUACGAGUAGGGCUACACACGUGCUACAAUGGCGUAUACAAAGAGAAGCGACCUCGCGAGAGCAAGCGGAACUCAUAAAGUACGUCGUAGUCCGGAUUGGAGUCUGCAACUCGACUCCAUGAAGUCGGAAUCGCUAGUAAUCGUAGAUCAGAAUGCUACGGUGAAUACGUUCCCGGGCCUUGUACACACCGCCCGUCACACCAUGGGAGUGGGUUGCAAAAGAAGUAGGUAGCUUAACCUUCGGGAGGGCGCUUACCACUUUGUGAUUCAUGACUGGGGUGAAGUCGUAACAAGGUAACCA
RNAcentral lists this ribosomal RNA (777 nucleotides) under uncultured Providencia sp. RNAcentral describes it as "bacterial SSU rRNA". It matches the Rfam family "Bacterial small subunit ribosomal RNA", at positions 722 to 1502 of the family's 1533-position model. Lineage: Bacteria; Pseudomonadati; Pseudomonadota; Gammaproteobacteria; Enterobacterales; Morganellaceae. The record is from RNAcentral.